This 347-nucleotide ribosomal RNA is filed under the name uncultured bacterium. RNAcentral describes it as "bacterial SSU rRNA". It matches the Rfam family "Bacterial small subunit ribosomal RNA", at positions 917 to 1267 of the family's 1533-position model. The record is from RNAcentral.
GGACCCGCACAAGUAGUGGAGCAUGUGGUUUAAUUCGAUGCAACGCGAAGAACCUUACCAGGGCUUAAAUGUAAGUUGCAUGGAUCAGAGAUGAUCCUUUCUUCGGACCACUUACAAGGUGCUGCAUGGUUGUCGUCAGCUCGUGCCGUGAGGUGUCAGGUUAAGUCCUAUAACGAGCGCAACCCCUAUCGUUAGUUGCCAGCAAGUAAAGUUGGGUACUCUAGCGAGACUGCCGGUGCAAACCGAGAGGAAGGUGGGGAUGACGUCAAAUCAUCACGGCCCUUACGUCCUGGCUACACACGUGCUACAAUGGCCGGUACAGAGAGCAGCCACCACGCGAGUGGGAG